Non-coding RNA from Uloborus diversus, 73 nucleotides. The record is from the annotation of a RefSeq genome assembly. NCBI's taxonomy places the organism in Eukaryota, Metazoa, Arthropoda, Arachnida, Araneae, Uloboridae.
GUCCCUGUAGCUCAGUGGAUAGCGCGUUGGACCUCUAAUCCAAAGGUGCCGUGUUCGAGUCCCGGCAGGGAUG